This 301-nucleotide ribosomal RNA is filed under the name uncultured bacterium. RNAcentral's name for it is "partial 16S ribosomal RNA". It matches the Rfam family "Bacterial small subunit ribosomal RNA", at positions 509 to 807 of the family's 1533-position model. The record is from RNAcentral.
CAGCAGCCGCGGGAAAACGUAGGGUGCAAGCGUUAAUCGGAAUUACUGGGCGUAAAGCGUGCGCAGGCGGUUAUAUAAGACAGAUGUGAAAUCCCCGGGCUCAACCUGGGAACUGCAUUUGUGACUGUAUAGCUAGAGUACGGCAGAGGGGGAUGGAAUUCCGCGUGUAGCAGUGAAAUGCGUAGAUAUGCGGAGGAACACCGAUGGCGAAGGCAAUCCCCUGGGCCUGUACUGACGCUCAUGUACGAAAGCGUGGGGAGCAAACAGGAUUAGAUACCCCGGUAGUCCCUGUCUCUUAUAC